RNAcentral lists this ribosomal RNA (575 nucleotides) under Nigrospora sp. BAB-3325. Its description in RNAcentral is "eukaryotic LSU rRNA". The stretch from base 184 to 337 matches the Rfam family "5.8S ribosomal RNA". The record is from RNAcentral. Lineage: Eukaryota; Fungi; Ascomycota; Sordariomycetes; Amphisphaeriales; Apiosporaceae.
UCCGUAGGUGAACCAGCGGAGGGAUCAUUACAGAGUUAUCCAACUCCCAAACCCAUGUGAACAUAUCUCUUUGUUGCCUCGGCGCAAGCUACCCGGGACCUCGCGCCCCGGGCGGCCCGCCGGCGGACAAACCAAACUCUGUUAUCUUCGUUGAUUAUCUGAGUGUCUUAUUUAAUAAGUCAAAACUUUCAACAACGGAUCUCUUGGUUCUGGCAUCGAUGAAGAACGCAGCGAAAUGCGAUAAGUAAUGUGAAUUGCAGAAUUCAGUGAAUCAUCGAAUCUUUGAACGCACAUUGCGCCCAUUAGUAUUCUAGUGGGCAUGCCUGUUCGAGCGUCAUUUCAACCCCUAAGCACAGCUUAUUGUUGGGCGUCUACGUCUGUAGUGCCUCAAAGACAUUGGCGGAGCGGCAGCAGUCCUCUGAGCGUAGUAAUUCUUUAUCUCGCUUCUGUUAGGCGCUGCCCCCCCGGCCGUAAAACCCCCAAUUUUUUCUGGUUGACCUCGGAUCAGGUAGGAAUACCCGCUGAACUUAAGCAUAUCAAUAAGCGGAGGAAAAGAAACCAACAGGGAUUCCCCU